GACUUCACAGAACACAACGACGAAUUAUAUAGAAAUUCAACAACAAAAAAGUAAAGAAUACUUUGAUCGGGCAGUUCAAGAGGCCAUUAGAAAACAGAUGCCGGAUAUACUAAAGGAACUAAGGGAAGACUUACGUCGAGAGACGAUUGAGGUAAUUAGCAUUUAUAUAUAAAUCAAUAUUCAUAUUUUCUUUGUAAUUUCAAUUUUUUUUUACAUUAGGGUCAGUCGAGCCAAGAACACGACAACAUAAUCACGCCUACUACAGGAGAUUCAAAUGUCGAAAAUGUUGGCAAAAAAGCGACUAAAAGUCCGACUAAAAGUGGGACGAAUAGCGCGACUAAGAGCAUGACCGACACUAACAAAUAGGUUCCUCUUUAUUUAUCUUUUCGUUUAGUUUUGUUUUAAAUGACAUGAAUUGUAUGAAAAUUGGAAUGGUAUGGAAUUGAUGGUAUGUUUUGCAAUUGUAUAGAAUGGUUUAGAAUGGUUUAGAAUUCAUUCCUUUUCUUUUAUCUUUUGGAAUGGUAUAGAAUUGAAGAAUUGAAUGGAAUGUUUUGGAAUUGAUUGGUUCAUUGUUUUGCAUAAUUUUUAUGGAUA
This 594-nucleotide long non-coding RNA is filed under the name Zostera marina. Its description in RNAcentral is "long non-coding RNA (ZMAR_LNC002016)". The record is from RNAcentral. Lineage: Eukaryota; Viridiplantae; Streptophyta; Magnoliopsida; Alismatales; Zosteraceae.